This 2040-nucleotide ribosomal RNA is filed under the name Triticum aestivum (bread wheat). RNAcentral's name for it is "partial small subunit ribosomal RNA". Lineage: Eukaryota; Viridiplantae; Streptophyta; Magnoliopsida; Poales; Poaceae. The record is from RNAcentral.
AUGGCGACGCGCCACCGCACGUUCUACCGCCUCGCCGCCACAAUCCUCAUUGCGUUCCUCCUCACACCACCGACCGCAGCCCAGCCGCCGUGGCAGAUCUGCGGCAAGAGCGGCAACUAUGCGGCGAACGACACCUACCAAUCCAACAUCCGGCAGCUCUCCGCCACCCUCCCCAAGAACGCCUCCGCCUCCCGGACGCUUUUCGCCACCAGCAGCAUCGGCUCCCUACCGAACAUCGCCUACGCCCUCGCGCUCUGCCGCGGCGACGGCAACGCCUCCGCCUGCGAGGCCUGCGUCACCACCGCCUUCCAGGACGCGCAGCAGCUCUGCGCCUUCAACAAGGACGCCACCGUCAUCUACGACCCCUGCUACCUCCGCUUCUCCAACCAGAACUUCCUCGCCACCACCAGCAACGACAACAUCAUCGUCCUCAAGAACACGCAGAGCGUGAGCUCGCCGGUGGACGUGUUCGACGCCGCCGUCCAAACACUCCUCAACGCCACCGGGGACUACGCGGCGGCAAACUCGUCCAGGCGGUUCGCCACGGGGGAGGAGGGCUUUGACACCACUAACCCCACCAUCUACGGGCUCGUGCAGUGCACGCCCGACAUGUCACCGGCCGAUUGCCGGAGCUGCCUCGGAGACAUAAUUACGCAGAUGCCGCAGGAUCUCAGCGGGAGCAUAGGCGGGAGGUUGAUUGGGGUGCGGUGCAAUUUCAGGUACGAGGUGGUUCCUUUCUUCUCCGGAAGCCCGACGCUGCGUUUGCCAGCACCUCCAGCGCCGCCGGCUCCUCCUCCUGCGCCUGUUAACGUGACGCCAACGGCGACCCCACGAGCAGGAAAAUCGGCAAACAAUGUUCUGGCUAUUGUGCUGCCUAUCGUUGCUGCAAUUCUGGCUAUCACUACCGUUUGCCUUUGUUAUUUGAGGAGGAGAAGGAGAAGACAAGCAAGGAGUGAGCUACCUCAUGAUUCAACUAAUCAUGAGGACAUAGAUAGCAUUGAUUCACUUAUCAUUGAUCUAUCAACCUUACGUGGUGCGACGAGUAACUUUGCUGAGGAGAAUAAGCUUGGUGAGGGAGGAUUUGGUGCAGUUUAUAAGGGAGACCUUCCUGAUGGUCAAGAAAUAGCUGUGAAGAGGCUCUCCAGGAAUUCAGGGCAAGGAAUAGGGGAGCUCAAGAAUGAGCUUGUUUUGGUCGCCAAGCUUCAACAUAAGAAUCUUGUCAGGCUUGUUGGCGUAUGCUUGCAAGAGCAUGAGAAACUGCUUGUGUACGAAUACAUGCCCAAUAGAAGCAUUGACACCAUUCUUUUUGAUUCGGAAAGAAGAAAGGAGCUAGAUUGGGGAAAGAGAUUGAAGAUAAUAAGUGGAAUUGCUCGAGGAUUGCAGUAUCUCCAUGAAGAUUCACAGCUGAGAAUAAUCCACCGGGACCUUAAAGCUAGCAAUGUUCUGUUAGACUCUGAUUACACUCCUAAGAUUUCAGACUUUGGCUUGGCAAGGCUAUUUGGAGCAGAUCAAUCACGGGAGGUCACAAACCGUGUUGUUGGAACAUAUGGAUACAUGGCCCCGGAGUAUGCAAUGCGCGGUCACUAUUCUAUAAAAUCGGACGUGUUCAGCUUUGGCAUUUUGAUGUUAGAAUUUGUGACCGGACGACGAAGCAGUGGCUCCUAUAACUUUGACGAGUCUGUCGAUCUCUUGAGUCUCAUAUGGGAACACUGGAGCACGGGGACAAUUUCAGAGAUCAUAGACUCAUCUCUGAGAAGUCAUGCACCAGGAGACCAGAUGGUGAAGAUUAUUCACAUCGGGCUGCUCUGCGUUCAAGAUAACCCAGCUGAUAGGCCUAUGAUGUCGACAGUAAAUGUCAUGCUUAGCAGUAACACCGUGUCUCUCCAGUCUCCAUCCAAGCCAUCAUUUUUCAUCACCAAGAGCGGCACAUACUCAACUCCAUACUCGGAGUCGUCAUACCCUACGGCUUCCCAGUCGACUGCUAAGUCAGCUAUGGCGUCACCAAAUGAAGUUUCAAUCACAGAGCUUGAACCAAGAUGA